GACGAACGCUGGCGGCGUGCCUAAUACAUGCAAGUUGAGCGCUGAAGGUUGGUACUUGUACCGACUGGAUGAGCAGCGAACGGGUGAGUAACGCGUGGGGAAUCUGCCUUUGAGCGGGGGACAACAUUUGGAAACGAAUGCUAAUACCGCAUAAAAACUUUAAACACAAGUUUUAAGUUUGAAAGAUGCAAUUGCAUCACUCAAAGAUGAUCCCGCGUUGUAUUAGCUAGUUGGUGAGGUAAAGGCUCACCAAGGCGAUGAUACAUAGCCGACCUGAGAGGGGGAUCGGCCAAAUUGGGACUGAGACCCGGCCCAAACUCCUACGGGAGGCAGCAGUGGGGAAUUUUCGGCAAGGGGCGAAAGCUGGACCGAGCAACGCCGGGGGAGUGAAGAAGGUUUUCGGAUCGUAAAACUCUGUUGGUAGGGAAGAACUUGGGUGGGAGGGGAAAGCCCAUAAAUGACCGGAAAUAACCAAAAAAGGGACGGCUAACUCCGG
RNAcentral lists this ribosomal RNA (496 nucleotides) under uncultured bacterium. RNAcentral's name for it is "partial 16S ribosomal RNA". It matches the Rfam family "Bacterial small subunit ribosomal RNA", at positions 28 to 506 of the family's 1533-position model. The record is from RNAcentral.